AUUGAACGCUGGCGGCAGGCCUAACACAUGCAAGUCGAGCGGAUGAAGGGAGCUUGCUCCUGGAUUCAGCGGCGGACGGGUGAGUAAUGCCUAGGAAUCUGCCUGGUAGUGGGGGAUAACGUCCGGAAACGGGCGCUAAUACCGCAUACGUCCUGAGGGAGAAAGUGGGGGAUCUUCGGACCUCACGCUAUCAGAUGAGCCUAGGUCGGAUUAGCUAGUUGGUGGGGUAAAGGCCUACCAAGGCGACGAUCCGUAACUGGUCUGAGAGGAUGAUCAGUCACACUGGAACUGAGACACGGUCCAGACUUCUACGGGAGGCAGCAGUGGGGAAUAUUGGACAAUGGGCGAAAGCCUGAUCCAGCCAUGCCGCGUGUGUGAAGAAGGUCUUCGGAUUGUAAAGCACUUUAAGCUGGGAGGAAGGGCAGUAAGUUAAUACCUUGCUGUUUUGACGUUACCAACAGAAUAAGCACCGGCUAACUUCGUG
This 484-nucleotide ribosomal RNA is filed under the name uncultured bacterium. RNAcentral describes it as "partial 16S ribosomal RNA". It matches the Rfam family "Bacterial small subunit ribosomal RNA", at positions 30 to 507 of the family's 1533-position model. The record is from RNAcentral.